AAACUCCCAAACCCUUUGUGAACGUUGCUGUUGUUGCCUCGGCGUGGGCGAGAGCUACCCUGGAGCUACCCUGUAGCCAUCCUGGAGCUCGCUGUAAGCCCCGCCGGAGGACCACUAAACUCUGGUUAAUAACUGUGUCUCUCUGAAUGCUUCAACUGAAAUCAGUUAAAACUUUCAACAACGGAUCUCUUGGUUCUGGCAUCGAUGAAGAACGCAGCGAAAUGCGAUAAGUAAUGUGAAUUGCAGAAUUCAGUGAAUCAUCGAAUCUUUGAACGCACAUUGCGCCCAUUAGUAUUCUAGUGGGCAUGCCUAUUCGAGCGUCAUUUCAACCCCUUAAGCCCCUGUUGCUUAGCGUUGGGAGUCUACGGCUUCGGCGUAGUUCCUGAAAGUUAGUGGCGGAGUUAGGGCAUACUCUUAGCGUAGUAAUCACUAUCCGUUACUGAGUAUCCUUAGCCUUUAGCCGUAAAACCCCCCUAUUCUUCUAGUGGUUGACCUCGAAUUAGGUAGGAAUACCCGCUGAACUUAAGCAUAUCAAUAAGCGGAGGAAAAGAAACCAACAGGGAUUGCCCUAGUAACGGCGAGUGAAGCGGCAACAGCUCAAAUUUGAAAUCUGGCCCUCGUGGUCCGAGUUGUAAUUUGUAGAGGAUGCUUUAGGCGCGGUGCCUUCCGAGUUCCCUGGAACGGGACGCCAGAGAGGGUGAGAGCCCCGUACGGUUGGACGCCUAACCUAUCUAUAGCUCCUUCGACGAGUCGAGUAGUUUGGGAAUGCUGCUCUAAAUGGGAGGUAAAUUUCUUCUAAAGCUAAAUACCGGCCAGAGACCGAUAGCGCACAAGUAGAGUGAUCGAAAGAUGAAAAGCACUUUGAAAAGAGGGUUAAAUAGCACGUGAAAUUGUUGAAAGGGAAGCGUUUACGACCAGACCUUUUCCAGGCGGAUCAUCCGGUGUUCUCACCGGUGCACUUCGCCUGGUUUAGGCCAGCAUCGGUUUCCCCCGGGGGAUAAAGGCUCAGGGCAUGUAGCUCUCUCGGGAGUGUUAUAGCCCUUUGCGUAAUGCCCUGGAGGGGACCGAGGACCGC
RNAcentral lists this ribosomal RNA (1075 nucleotides) under Xylariaceae sp. RNAcentral's name for it is "eukaryotic LSU rRNA". The stretch from base 490 to 1075 matches the Rfam family "Eukaryotic large subunit ribosomal RNA", at positions 1 to 596 of the family's 3401-position model. The record is from RNAcentral. Lineage: Eukaryota; Fungi; Ascomycota; Sordariomycetes; Xylariales; Xylariaceae.